GUGAAGUUAGCGCAUUUCCCUCCAAAACUGUGGGUGCCUGUAUAAAUGCUUGAGGGACUUUUCACUCUGGUACUAGCUAGCUAGCUGACUUUAAAGUUGUUGGAGAUGCAGUGCAAGGUUUGGUAAACAUGUUAGCAGCGGCUCAGCUGCCUUUAUUAAGGGCAAUCAGCAGCAUCAGAGCUGAACUUAGUGCACACACAGAGGAGCAUCUCCUCAUUUCAUCGCUGCUAGACUGCAAACAGACUGAACUGGACCAGAGCAUCGACAAGUUCAAUGCUCCAGAGGAGGAGUUCAAUAAGGAGCUGUCUGAGAGGGAGAAUAAGGAGAAGCUGUGCCUGGGGAGAAAACAUGUUCUGAUGAUGAAUGCCAGCAAAGCAGGAGGAGCUAAAGCUUCUCAUUAUUGAAAACAUCCAAGUUCAGGAGCUCUCCAUU
This is a long non-coding RNA of Acanthopagrus latus (yellowfin seabream), 432 nucleotides long. RefSeq lists it as uncharacterized. The transcript is spliced from 3 exons. NCBI's taxonomy places the organism in Eukaryota, Metazoa, Chordata, Actinopteri, Spariformes, Sparidae. The record is from RefSeq and is a predicted model, not a curated record.